CGCCUCUUGCAAAAAUAUAAGAGGUCCAGCCUGCCCAGUGACUCUGUUCAACGGCCGCGGUAUCCUAACCGUGCGAAGGUAGCGUAAUCACUUGUUCUUUAAAUGAGGACUAGUAUGAAUGGCACCACGAAGGUUAUACUGUCUCCUUUUCCCAAUCAGUGAAACUAAUCUCCCCGUGAAGAAGCGGGGAUAUUCCUAUAAGACGAGAAGACCCUAUGGAGCUUUAAACUAUGCAUCAACUGCUUUACCCAAUAUUAACUCUCACGAGUAUUAACUUUUAACCUAGCAUAAUGACUGCAAGUUUUCGGUUGGGGUGACCACGGAGCAAAAACUAACCUCCACAUUGAAAAGAACUAUUUUCUUUAGCUAUGAACUACAUUUCUAAGCAUCAACAAUUUGACAUCCAUUGACCCAAUCUAUUGAUCAACGAACCAAGUUACCCUAGGGAUAACAGCGCAAUCCACUUCAAGAGCUCAUAUCGACAAGUGGGUUUACGACCUCGAUGUUGGAUCAGGGUAUCCCAGUGGUGCAGCCGCUACUAAAGGUUCGUUUGUUCAACAAUUAAAACCCUA
This 572-nucleotide ribosomal RNA is filed under the name Pleurodema brachyops (Colombian four-eyed frog). Its description in RNAcentral is "partial 16S ribosomal RNA". It matches the Rfam family "Bacterial large subunit ribosomal RNA", at positions 1817 to 2598 of the family's 2925-position model. The record is from RNAcentral. Lineage: Eukaryota; Metazoa; Chordata; Amphibia; Anura; Leptodactylidae.